AGACUGGAUGAUUCCAAACAAAUGAUUUUAAUAGUCAAAAUAGACCUUAUCUUGCGGGCCUGGUUACUACUUUGAAUGGGCAAACCAUCUGAGAAUACCAGGUAUUCUAGUCUA
Molecule: ribosomal RNA, 114 nt
Filed under: Gopherus agassizii (Agassiz's desert tortoise)
Lineage: Eukaryota; Metazoa; Chordata; Testudines; Testudinidae
Source: RNAcentral